UACGGAGGGUGCAAGUGUAACUCGGAAUCACUGGGCGUAAAGGGCGCGUAGGCGGCCUAGCAAGUCUGGUGUGAAAGCCCAGGGCUCAACCCUGGAAGGGCACUGGAAACUGUUAGGCUUGAGUUCCGGAGAGGAGGGGGGAAUUACCGGUGUAGCGGUGAAAUGCGUAGAUAUCGGGAGGAAUACCGGUGGCGAAGGCGCCCCUCUGGACGGAAACUGACGCUGAGGCGAGAAAGCGUGGGGAGCAAACAGG
Molecule: ribosomal RNA, 253 nt
Filed under: uncultured bacterium
Lineage: Bacteria
Description: partial 16S ribosomal RNA
Rfam family: Bacterial small subunit ribosomal RNA
Source: RNAcentral